ACAGUCGUCACAAUUUCGAUAUGAAUGAGUCGACCAAGGUUAUUAUGAUGUAACGUUAUCAUAUAAACGUGCGGCGGCGCAGUUCGAAAACAUUCCAUUGGUCCGACAUGACCCUACGGCAAAAACUAGGGGUGGCAACAAAAACCCAACCAUGAUAUUUUGGGCCUCUUUAAACAAGGAAGCAAGUUAGAAUGGGCUGGGGAUUUAGUCAAGAUGGGUUUUAAAAUAUCCAUCUAAAUUUUAACAUGGGCCAAGAUGGGUUUUUAACUCUCUAAUCCUAAAACACGCAUCAGACUUUUCUUUCUAUUUCUCCUGCGGAUCUGAACAAACAUCUUAUGCCUGAUGCUGCUGAUCAUUGAUUUACACUUUACUUCAUCAUGAGAAUCGUACCGGUAAUUUCUUCACUUUCCAGAAACUUUUUCGCAAUGAUUCCUUCGGGUUUAUGAUUGUGUUCUUGUUGAUUUUUGAUCAUCGGUGAUGAUUUUCACUAAUUGAUUAUUGUUGAUCUAGUGAUGAUUGAUUGGCGAAUUGUUGUUAUUUUGCAUGAAUUGGAGUUGUUUUACUUUUGACUUUAGCUGUUCAAUUGCAGUAGAUAGAUCUGAAUAUUAAGCAAUACUGUAGGUUUAGCUCUUUAAGCAGUUUAGAGAACUAUAGCAAAUGCUAUGUCGGUUUCAGUUCUUUACUUUGUUCAGUGGCAGAACCCGAACUUGUUUUUAUUAGGUGUCAUCAUAAGGGUCCAGAUCAUGUCAAACCUGAAAGUACAAGCGUAGUUAAUAUUCUCCCCGAGUUUACUCAAAUCCUUCGCGUUUGGGUUAAACUGGCACCACUUCUCUUGGUACCGCACGUUUUGGGCCGGUACAAAAAACGAGUUCUGACCUCGUCCUGAAAUAUCCAUAGCAAACUUGGGCUGCCAGUCGUAUCGAAAAAUCCCCCAAAGACGUUCGAAGUUUCCCGGGGCAAUGCUCUUGGCAUCCUCAUCAAUAAGCCCAAAAAGGUACACUUCUAUCGGGCCAGGCCGAAGUGGUGUUCCUUUGUUUGAAGCAAUACGGGGUAAAAGCCCGUUGUAGAACCGAUACGCCAUGUUAACGUUCGCGUUUUUAUCCCCGUCGGUCGGCCACCCGACCUCCCCGACAAUAAUCGGCAUGUCACCGUAGCCCGCAGCCAUUAAUGCGGACACUAAAGAAUCGUAAUUAGCGUUGAAAACGUUUGUGUAUUGGAUCCAGUUAUCGACAACGGGCUGCGGUGCACCGUCAAAGAAGGCGAAAUCAAUAGGAAAGUUAUCAUUCCCAUAGAGACUUAAAAAAGGGUAUAUGUUGACUGUGAAGGGUGUCAUCAUAAUUGGUCAGUAGGUCUGUUUGUCUGCUAAUCUUGACCAUAUUCUGCAAAAAAAGCAACUUUCUAUUCAUGGCUGUUUGAUCUUGUUCCCAUUUUACUUAGGGUUUGUUAGUGGUGUAUAUUAAUUAGUGUUUAUGAGGCUGCAAUUCAAGAAAGAAACAUGAUCAGAGGGUUACUAUUUCCUUUUAAAUUCUUGUGAAUGCCUAAUUGUAGAUACUGUUUCUUGAACUUGAAGUGAUCCCCUUAUUUGAUCACUACUAGUCUUGCAAUACAAUGUCUUCACCAAACACCUUGUUAAAUUA
Molecule: long non-coding RNA, 1637 nt
Filed under: Helianthus annuus (common sunflower)
Lineage: Eukaryota; Viridiplantae; Streptophyta; Magnoliopsida; Asterales; Asteraceae
Description: hypothetical non coding rna
Source: RNAcentral